UACCAACUGAGCCANAUCCCCAGAUUUGAU
RNAcentral lists this non-coding RNA (30 nucleotides) under Mus musculus (house mouse). Lineage: Eukaryota; Metazoa; Chordata; Mammalia; Rodentia; Muridae. The record is from RNAcentral.